This 2667-nucleotide ribosomal RNA is filed under the name Triticum aestivum (bread wheat). RNAcentral's name for it is "partial small subunit ribosomal RNA". Lineage: Eukaryota; Viridiplantae; Streptophyta; Magnoliopsida; Poales; Poaceae. The record is from RNAcentral.
GGAGGAGAGGGAGCGGAGGAAGCCGCGGAACACGUGUGCCAAUGUCACACCCCACGCCCACGCGGCACAAGAGAAGAGAAUACUUCGUCCCAGUUGCAUCCAUACCUUGCCUUCUUCCCUCUCCCUUCACACCUCACACACCUUGCCUUCUUCCCUCCCGAGCGAGCGAGCAAGCAAGAGGAACCCCGCCGCCAGCUCCUCCGCGCAACGCAACGCAGGCGAGGCCCCGGCCGGCGAGUCGACAGUCGAGACCAUUUCUAUCCAUCCUCGGUAAGUAAUUUAUACAGUACAUCGCAUCACGGCUUGCGCGCUCCCCUGCUGCUUCAGUUCUUGCAGGCCAUGUUCGUUUAAUCCCCUCACCACAGGGAUUGAAGGGGAUUGGGGAGGUUUGAGGGAGAUUUUGACUUGCAAGGGAUUUUAUCCCUUUCAAACCCCUCCAAUCCAUGCCUAACCGAACAAGGCCGCCAAGGGGAAAAAAAGCUUCAGUUCUUGCAAGGGGAAAAAAGCAAAAUCCAGCAUCGGCUCUCGUUUAAUUUGGUAUUUGAUCAGUAAGGUGAGCUAGGAGGAUCCCCUGCCCUGCCCUGCCCUGCGCCCCCGGGUCUGCCAGGCCGAGGAUCGAUGGCCGGCGGCGGCACCAGCAUCAGGAAGUAUGUGGGCGCCCUCAAGGACUCCACCACCGUCAGCAUCGCCAAAGUCAACAGCGACUACAAGCAACUGGACAUCGCGAUCGUCAAGGCCACCAACCAUGUGGAGCGCCCUGCAAAGGAGAAGUACAUCAGAGACAUCUUCAUGCAUCUUAAUUCCGGGCGGGCUCGGGCCGACGUGGCCUACUGCAUCCGCGCCCUCGCCAGACGCCUCUCCAAGACGCGCAACUGGGCGGUUGCACUCAAGACAUUGAUUGUCAUACACCGUGCCCUUCGCGAGGUCGACCCUUCUUUCCGUGAUGAGCUCAUCAGUUAUGGAAGAUCUAGCGGCCAGAUGCUACACAUGUCCUAUUUCAAAGAUGACUCUAGCCCUGAUGCUUGGGAUCACUCUGCUUGGAUACGCAAUUACGCUUUGUUUUUGGAAGAGAGGCUCGAAUCUUUCCGUGUGCUGAAUUAUGACGUCGAACUGGAUCCAUUGGGAACACGAGAUGUUGAUACGACUGGUUUGCUUGCACAACUGCCGGCAUUGUCGCAACUUCUUUUUCGGCUAAUCAGUUGUCAGCCGCAUGGGUCAUCAUCUUAUAACACCAUAAUCCAGCAUGCUCUUUCAAUGGUUGCUACGGAGAGCGUUAGGAUCCAGACAGCCAUCAAUGAUGGCAUACUCAAUCUAGUUGACAAGUUUUUUGAUAUGCAUAGGGACGACGCUAUUAGGGCCCUGGACAUAUACAAAAAAGCACUUAAGCAGGCAGGGCAACUUUCUGGAUUUUACGAGACGUGUAAAACCAUACAUAUUGGGCGGGAUGAGAAGCUGUUAACAAUCGAACAGCCUCCCGCGUCAUUCUUGCAAGCCAUGGAAGAUUAUGUGAGAGAUGCUCCCCUUGCUUCAAAAAAUCAGGCUGUACUGGCAAUAGAGUACAACAGAAAACCAGAAGAGGAAGAAGCAUCAACUCCACCACCUCCUCCUCAAGUAUCAACUUCAGAGAAAGAACCAGAACCAGAGCCGGUUACAAAAGUCAUGCCUAGAGUCGAGCAAAUAGAUUUGCUGGGGAUGGAUGAGCCGAUCCCUGACACGUCCGAGCUAGAUCAAAAGAAUGCUUUGGCCUUAGCAAUUGUUGAACCAGAUAAUGCGCGUAAAGCUGCUGCUGGUUCCGAAAAUGUCGCCACCAGCUGGGAGCUAGCACUCAUCACAGAACCCAGUGCAAGUGAAAAUGUUGCUACUUCAAGAAAUUUGGCCGGUGGAAUGGAUCUGCUCACCCUCGACAGCCUCUACGACGACGCACACCAGCAUGCCCAGCAGAAUGUGAGCUACAAUCCCUGGGAGCAGCCGGCCCCGGCUUCGGCUCCGAUGAUGCAGCAGCAGUAUCAGCAGCAGCCGAUGCACAACCCGUUGUACGCCUCGGCGCAGCAGCAGCAGGCGUUCAUGCUCCAGCAGCAGCAGGCCUUCGUGCUCCAGCAGCAGCACCAGUACCAGCAGAUGAUGAUGAUGGGCGCGCCGUCGCUCCAUCGCCAGGCGUCCUCCAACCCAUCGCUCCAUCGCCAGGCGUCCUCCAACCCGUCGCUCCAUCGCCAGGCGUCCUCCAACCCGUCGUUCCAUCGUCAGGGAUCCUCCAACCCGUUCGACAGAUCAUAUGUGCCGGCAGCCGCCCCCGGUGGUGGUUACCCUUAUGCUCCGGCGAUGCAGCUCCACACCGGCAACGCCUACACCGGGACCGGCAUGAUGUAGAGAUGCUUGUGGUGGUUUUUCUUUUUGUUUCGCCGUUGCGAAUUUUUUACGAGUUAGUAGGAACCUGGUGUAUAGUUGAGAUGAGUAAUAGCAGGGGAAGUAUUUUUCCCCGGCUAUUUGUGGUCAGGACGGUUGCUUGUGCUGUGCAGCCGUGAAGUAUUAUUGUCCAGGGAAAUUAAAUUCUGGGAACAUGGUAACAAUGUUUGAAACAGGAGAAGAGAGAUGAACAUUGUGAAAAAAAGGUAUCAACAGAGCAACUUUUCUCUCUCUGUUGAGACAUGAGAAAAAACAGACAUUAUU